UACAGAGGUCUCAAGCGUUGUUCGGAUUCAUUGGGCGUAAAGGGUGCGUAGGUGGCAUGGUAAGUCGGAUGUGAAAUCCCGGGGCUCAACCCCGGAACUGCAUUCGAUACUGUCAGGCUAGAGUACUGGAGAGGAGAUUGGAAUUUACGGUGUAGCAGUGAAAUGCGUAGAGAUCAUGAGGAAGACCAGUGGCGAAGGCGGGUCUCUGGACAGUUCCUGACACUGAGACACGAAGGCCAGGGGAGCAAACGGG
This 253-nucleotide ribosomal RNA is filed under the name uncultured bacterium. Its description in RNAcentral is "partial 16S ribosomal RNA". It matches the Rfam family "Bacterial small subunit ribosomal RNA", at positions 524 to 776 of the family's 1533-position model. The record is from RNAcentral.